GGGAGCGGCUGUGUCCAUGGUGGACAUCUCGGACUUCAAAUCCGAUGGGAGGUCGGCAGACCGGCCUUUGGUGGGUUCGAUUCCCACACGUUCCCGCCA
RNAcentral lists this transfer RNA (99 nucleotides) under Clostridia bacterium. Its description in RNAcentral is "tRNA-Sec". It matches the Rfam family "Selenocysteine transfer RNA". The record is from RNAcentral. Lineage: Bacteria; Bacillati; Bacillota; Clostridia. RNAcentral also lists the same sequence under 2 other names.